Molecule: ribosomal RNA, 279 nt
Filed under: uncultured bacterium
Lineage: Bacteria
Description: partial 16S ribosomal RNA
Rfam family: Bacterial small subunit ribosomal RNA
Source: RNAcentral
UGCCAGCAGCCGCGGUAAUAUGGAGGGGGUUAGCGUUGUUCGGAAUUACUGGGCGUAAAGCGCACGUAGGCGGAUUGGAAAGUUGGGGGUGAAAUCCCGGAGCUUAACUCCGGAACUGCAUUUGAAACUACUUUUCUUGAGGAUAGACGGAGAAAACGGAAUUCCAUAUGUAGCGGUGAAAUGCGUAGAUAUGUGGAAGAACACCCGUGGCGAAAGCGGUUUUCUAGUUUAUACCUGACGCUAAGGCCCGAAAGCUAGGGGAGCAAACAGGAUUAGAUA